This 413-nucleotide ribosomal RNA is filed under the name uncultured Coxiella sp. RNAcentral's name for it is "bacterial SSU rRNA". It matches the Rfam family "Bacterial small subunit ribosomal RNA", at positions 505 to 916 of the family's 1533-position model. The record is from RNAcentral. Lineage: Bacteria; Pseudomonadati; Pseudomonadota; Gammaproteobacteria; Legionellales; Coxiellaceae.
GUGCCAGCAGCCGCGGUAAUACAGAGGGUGCAAGCGUUAAUCGGAAUUACUGGGCGUAAAGCGUACGUAGGCGGUUAUUUAAGUCGGAUGUGAAAGCCCCGGGCUCAACCUGGGAACUGCACUCGAUACUGGAUAACUAGAGUAUGGUAGAGGAAAGUGGAAUUUCCGGUGUAGCGGUGAAAUGCGUAGAUAUCGGAAGGAACACCAGUGGCGAAGGCGGCUUUCUGGACCAAUACUGACGCUGAGGUACGAAAGCGUGGGGAGCAAACAGGAUUAGAUACCCUGGUAGUCCACGCCGUAAACGAUGAGAACUAGAUGUUGGCCCCUUUCGGGGGGUUAGUAUCGCAGCUAACGCAUUAAGUUCUCCGCCUGGGGAGUACGGGCGCAAGACUAAAACUCAAAUGAAUUGACGG